RNAcentral lists this ribosomal RNA (445 nucleotides) under Apilactobacillus kunkeei. RNAcentral describes it as "bacterial SSU rRNA". It matches the Rfam family "Bacterial small subunit ribosomal RNA", at positions 131 to 562 of the family's 1533-position model. Lineage: Bacteria; Bacillati; Bacillota; Bacilli; Lactobacillales; Lactobacillaceae. The record is from RNAcentral.
CCGAAGCGGGGGAUAACAUUUGGAAACAAGUGCUAAUACCGCAUAAUUAGUUGGAACCGCAUGGUUCCAACUUGAAAGAUGGCUCUGCUAUCACUUUGGGAUGGACCCGCGCCGUAUUAGUUAGUUGGUGAGAUAAAAGCCCACCAAGACGAUGAUACGUAGCCGACCUGAGAGGGUAAUCGGCCACAUUGGGACUGAGACACGGCCCAGACUCCUACGGGAGGCAGCAGUAGGGAAUCUUCCACAAUGGACGAAAGUCUGAUGGAGCAACGCCGCGUGAGUGAUGAAGGUUUUCGGAUCGUAAAACUCUGUUGUUAAAGAAGAACAAGUGUUAGAGUAACUGUUAACACUUUGACGGUAUUUAACCAGAAAGCCACGGCUAACUACGUGCCAGCAGCCGCGGUAAUACGUAGGUGGCAAGCGUUGUCCGGAUUUAUUGGGCGUA